GACGAACGCUGGCGGCGUGCUUAACACAUACAAGUCGAACGAUGAAGCUGGAGCUUGCUCCGGUGGAUUAGUGGCGAACGGGUGAGUAACACGUGAGCAAUCUGCCCUUGACUCUGGGAUAACUGCGGGAAACUGUAGCUAAUACCGGAUACUUUCACUGGAGGGCAUCUUCUGGUGAAGAAAGAAUUUCGGUCAAGGAUGAGCCCGCGGCCUAUCAGCUUGUUGGUGAGGUAACGGCUCACCAAGGCGACGACGGGUAGCCGGCCUGAGAGGGUGAACGGCCAAACUGGGACUGAGACACGGCCCAGACUCCUACGGGAGGCAGCAGUGGGGAAUAUUGCACAAUGGGCGCAAGCCUGAUGCAGCAACGCCGCGUGAGGGAUGAAGGCCUUCGGGUUGUAAACCUCUUUUAGCAGGGAAGAAGCGAAAGUGACGGUACCUGCAGAAAAAGCACCGGCUAACUACGUGCCAGCCGCCGCCGUAA
Molecule: ribosomal RNA, 484 nt
Filed under: uncultured bacterium
Lineage: Bacteria
Description: partial 16S ribosomal RNA
Rfam family: Bacterial small subunit ribosomal RNA
Source: RNAcentral